GAUGAACGCUGGCGGCGUGCCUAAUACAUGCAAGUCGAGCGAACAGACGAGGAGCUUGCUCCUCUGACGUUAGCGGCGGACGGGUGAGUAACACGUGGAUAACCUACCUAUAAGACUGGGAUAACUUCGGGAAACCGGAUCUAAUCCCGGAUAAUAUAUUGAACCGCAUGGUUCAAUAGUGAAAGACGGUUUUGCUGUCACUUCUAGAUGGAUCCGCGCCGCAUUAGCUAGUUGGUAAGGUAACGGCUUACCAAGGCGACGAUGCGUAGCCGACCUGAGAGGGUGAUAGGCGACACUGGAACUGAGACACGGUCCAGACGCCUAAGGGAGGCAGCAGUAGGGAAUCUGCCGCAAUGGGCGAAAGCAUGACGGAGCAACGCCGCGUGAGUGAUGAAGGUCUUCGGAUCGUAAAACUCUGUUAUGAGGGAAGAACAAAUGUGUAAGUAACUAUGCACGUCUUGACGGUACCUAAUCAGAAAGCCACGGCUAACUACGUG
Molecule: ribosomal RNA, 497 nt
Filed under: uncultured bacterium
Lineage: Bacteria
Description: partial 16S ribosomal RNA
Rfam family: Bacterial small subunit ribosomal RNA
Source: RNAcentral